UUGAGUUUGAUCAUGGCUCAGGACGAACGCUGGCGGCAGGCUUAACACCUGCAAGUCGAGCGCCCCGCAAGGGGAGCGGCAGACGGGUCAGUAACGCGUGGGAACGUGCCCUUCAGUUCGGAAUAGCUCCGGGAAACUGGAAUUAAUACCGGAUACGCCCCUAGGGGGAAAGAUUUAUCGCUGAAGGAUCGGCCCGCGUCAGAUUAGGUAGUUGGUGGGGUAAUGGCCUACCAAGCCGAUGAUCUGUAGGUGGUCUGAGAGGACGAUCACCCACACUGGGACUGAGACACGGCCCAGACUCCUACGGGAGGCAGUAGUGGGGAAUAUUGGACAAUGGGCGAAAGCCUGAUCCAGCCAUGGCCGCGUGGAUGAAGAAGGCCCUAGGGUUGUUUUUUUUUUUCGGUGGUGAAGAUAAUGACGGUAACCACAUAAGAAGCCCCGGCUAAUUUCGUGCCAGCAGCCGCGGUAA
Molecule: ribosomal RNA, 469 nt
Filed under: uncultured Alphaproteobacteria bacterium
Lineage: Bacteria; Pseudomonadati; Pseudomonadota; Alphaproteobacteria
Description: bacterial SSU rRNA
Rfam family: Bacterial small subunit ribosomal RNA
Source: RNAcentral